This 97-nucleotide ribosomal RNA is filed under the name Anaerobutyricum hallii. Its description in RNAcentral is "partial 23S ribosomal RNA". It matches the Rfam family "Bacterial large subunit ribosomal RNA", at positions 2828 to 2925 of the family's 2925-position model. RNAcentral also lists the same sequence under 1 other name. Lineage: Bacteria; Bacillati; Bacillota; Clostridia; Lachnospirales; Lachnospiraceae. The record is from RNAcentral.
GAGAGACCCCUUAGAGACGAUGAGGUAGAUAGGGCAGAGAUGGAAGCACAGCGAUGUGUGGAGUUGACUGUUACUAAUCGGUCGAUAGCUUGACCUU